Pelobates cultripes (western spadefoot toad) is the source of this 238-nucleotide non-coding RNA. The record is from the annotation of a GenBank genome assembly. NCBI's taxonomy places the organism in Eukaryota, Metazoa, Chordata, Amphibia, Anura, Pelobatidae.
CGCCAACAAAAACUGCCCACCGAAACCCUAUUGGCACAUAUCAUCACGCUCCCAAAACCUGGAAAACCCCCCACAUGCCCACAAAACUUCCGUCCCAUUUCCCUAUUAAACACUGAUGCAAAAUUAUACGCGAAGAUUUACGCACGACGUCUGGGAACGAUACUCCCGCACGUCAUCCACACGGACCAAGUGGGAUUUAUAAAAAACAGGCAAGGAGGGGACAACACUAGAAAAGUAC